RNAcentral lists this transfer RNA (63 nucleotides) under Tricholepidion gertschi. RNAcentral describes it as "tRNA-Ser". Lineage: Eukaryota; Metazoa; Arthropoda; Insecta; Zygentoma; Lepidotrichidae. The record is from RNAcentral.
CUAAGAGGAUUUGAGUGUUCAAGAUGAAGCUGCUAACUUCUAACUUAAGCGGUUAAACUCCGU